CAAUUAGUUUAUUUCAAAGAAAUACCCAGGUGUUGUUUGACCUUCAAACACAUGGACUGCUGGAGUCAAUGAAAGUCUCAUCUGUUCCCAUAAUGCCAAGGGAACUGGAUGGGAAAAUGGGAACAGUGUUUCAUGAAAUUCAAAUGACCUCGUAGGAUGGUUGGGACAUCUGUGCUUCAUGACUAAGAACUGAGACUCCCAGUGCCCCCUGGGUCUUGUCAUGGGCUCAUGGGCCGUGUGUCUGGCCUCCACUCAUCUGGUUGCCUCUUUAGCACUUUUACAAUUGCCCUCAGAGAUUGCAGAAAACGGGACUGGACAACUUGGAGCCCAAACACAGUUUCCAAGACCUAAAUCCCUGCCCCCUGUGGUGAUCCUAAGAGAUGCUGUGGAAUGCGAACUCUACCAACAAAGCCAAUCAGCUUUGUUCUGUGAAAGAGUUCUCUAACAACCACGAAUCAUUAGGCAUCAGAAGGAAAGGGCCAAUUUUCCUGCUGUAAAACCAGCUUUUCAUGAAAAUAGACAUCCUUGAUGUCAUGGGUAGAAUUAAAUGACCUGAAU
RNAcentral lists this long non-coding RNA (558 nucleotides) under Equus asinus (donkey). RNAcentral describes it as "lncRNA (ENSEASG00005033159.1, ENSEASG00020017444.1)". The record is from RNAcentral. Lineage: Eukaryota; Metazoa; Chordata; Mammalia; Perissodactyla; Equidae.